This 91-nucleotide microRNA precursor is filed under the name Marmota monax (woodchuck). The record is from RNAcentral. Lineage: Eukaryota; Metazoa; Chordata; Mammalia; Rodentia; Sciuridae.
CUUUGAAUAACUGGGUCAAAUGGUGAUUCCAUUCCUAGUUUUUUGAGGAAUCUCCAGAGUGGUUGAACCAUUUUGUAUUCCCACCAGCAAU